RNA transcript from Jatropha curcas, 3152 nucleotides. RefSeq lists it as uncharacterized. NCBI's taxonomy places the organism in Eukaryota, Viridiplantae, Streptophyta, Magnoliopsida, Malpighiales, Euphorbiaceae. The record is from RefSeq and is a predicted model, not a curated record.
GCAAAAAGGACAAUUGCAUAGCGGAAAGGUCUGUACUUGUAGCUUCGCACUGCUUCACUUCGGCGCUGAAUGAUCGGAUAGGAAAAAAGAGGCAAAAUCCCAGAAGAAAACUUCGCACUCUCUCUUUCGAAUAAAAACAUAGCAGGAGCAGAGAGGUUGAAAGCGUGAAGAAAACGGAACGAGAUAAGAGAAACAAUACAAGAUUCACUAUACCUAUACUUACAAGAAACCAUUUCUUGUUCUUCGUUUACAGGGCGUUUAUUCUAAUAAUCACUCAAUCUGUAAGAAAUUUUAGAGACGAAAUGUUCGUAUAAGAACACUCCGUUCUUGUUCAUGAAAUUAGGGUUUGUUUUCUUUGUUUCAAGUUUAAAAAUCAAUGGCGAAUGCGAAACAAGAAGUGGAACCUUGUUACGACAGUGAUUCAGGGGAUUCGUGGUCGCCAUUGGACUUGCUGAGAAUAGAAGCCACCGAUGAUGACGAUAUAGACAGCAAAGAAGAGAAAAGGGCUUUAAGGACUGGUCGGAGCUCUCGUUUUGGUUUUGAUGAUGAAUUGCACGGCGCUGGAGGAGCACCGGAGGAGGAUGAUGAGGACAAAGAAGCUCUUGGUGUGGAAGAGGAAGAAGAUGAGAGUUCUGGUGAAGAAGCAGUAGAGGAACUUGAAGAUGAAUUUGAGGAGGUGGAACCUCUAGAGGCUGCUGAGGUAGGGAGGCAGAGAUAUGCAGAAGAGGAAGAAAAGGAGAAGGAUAAAGAGGCGGUUACAAUUCCUAGAACAGGUGCAUUCUACAUGCACGAUGAUCGGUGUCAAGGCAGUGGCCGCGGACGCAGGAUGAAUUUGGGCAGCAAGAACUUGCAGGAACUCAAAGAUGAAAAGAAAUGGCCACAUGGCAAGUUUCAAGAGAUGAUGCGGAAGGACCCAGAAAAUAAAAAGUUUAAUGCCUACACCAAAGUACAGAAUUUUUCUGAUAGCCAUCAUCAAGGAUACUAUAAAAAUAAAAGCAGAGGUUGUGAUGUUAAUGCCAAUCAAUUUAUACCCGACGAUAACAAUAACUAUCAAGGCCUUUCAUCAAGAAUUGUACGAGGUCGAGGGCCAAUGAAAUAUAAGCCUCUUAACAGCAGCAAUGAUGUAGAUCGACCUGGAAAUAUGGAAUUGAGGAAGUCCCCUGGUAUAAAAUCAAAAGCUGAUUCAGCAAGAACGUUGUCAGACACUUCACAGGCAGACUCUGAUUCACUUGCUUCUAAGAAGAAGCAUCAUCAUGCAACUUCUUCCAAACCCGACAUCUCUGUGGCAAAUAAAAGGAAUGUACAACCUCGUUUUCUAGGUUAUGAUGCAUGUAUGCCACAUUACAAAGAAUAUAUGCAGGGGAACAGUGUAGAUGAUUAUUUUGAGAGGAACAGGCUUUCUGCUCAGGAGUCCAUAUUUCCAGUUGUUGAACAUCGUUAUACCGGUCUGCCUUUGCAGCCUUCAGUAACCACAUAUCCUGAUUCUUCCCAGCUGAGGAGUCAGGCAAGGGAUUGUCCUCUUCACCCACUGAUGAUCCAUCAUUCACCCACAUCUUCUAAUGCAGUUGAUAACCAUGUUGUUCAACAAACACCUCUUGGAAGCAGAUGUUGCUGUCCUUUACAAGCUUACACUCAGCAGUUGACCUCACAUUCAGCUAUGCAGUUUGGAGACCAGCAUCUUGGUCAUCUUAGUGAUCAUGUUGAUGACAGGGCUGUUGGUAGAUCUAUGAUUCAACCCCAAGCUGGUCUUGGAAAUUCUGAGAUGACUCGGAUGAAUUUGGGCAGGAAGAACUUUCGGGACCUCAAAGAUGAAAAGAAAUGGCCACAUGAUAAGUUUGAAGAGAUGAUGCGGAAGGACUCGGAAAAUAAAAAGUUUAAUGCCUACGCCAAAGUACAGAAUUUUUCUGAUAGCCAUCAUCAAGGAUACUAUAACAAUAAAAGCAGAGGUCGUGAUGUUAAAGCCAACCGAUUUAUACCCAAUGAUAACAAUAACAAUCAAGGCCCUUCAUCAAGAAUUGUGCGAGGGGGAGGGCAUGUGAAAUAUAAGCCUCUUAACAGCAGCAAUGAUGUAGAUCCACCUGGAAAUAUGGAAUUGAGGAAGUCCCCUGGUAUAAAAUCAAAUGCUGAUUCAGCAAGAACGUGGUCAGACACUUCACAGGCAGACUCUGAUUCACUUGCUUCUAAGAAGAAGCAUUAUCAUGCAACUUCUUCCAAACCCGACAUCUCUGUGGCAAAUAAAAGGAAUGUACAGCCUAGUCUUCCAGGUUAUGAUGCAUGUAUACCACAUUACAAAGCAUAUAUGCAGGGGAACAAUGUAGAUGAUUAUUUUGAGAGGAACAGGCUUUCUGCUCAGGAGUCCAUAUUUCCAGUUGUUGAACAUCAUCAUACUGUUCUGCCUUUGCAGUCUUCAGUAACCACAUAUCCUGAUUCUUCCCAGCUGAGGAGUCAGGCAAGGGAUUGUCCUCUUCACCCACUGAUGAUCCAUCAUUCACCUACAUCUUCUAAUGCAGCUGAUAGGCAUAACCAUGUUGUUCAACAAACACCUCUUGGAAGCAGAUGUUGCUGUCCUUUACAAGCUUACACUCAGCAGUUGACCUCACAUUCAGCUAUGCAGUUUGGAAACCAGCAUCUUGGUCAUCUUAGUGAUCAUGUCGAUGACAGGGCUGUUACUAGAUAUAUGAUUCAACCCCAAGUUGGUCUUGGAAAUUCUGAGAUGACUCGUUGUUGGCUUUCUUCUGCAGUGCUGGAGCCAGUGCAAGCAGACUCAGCCAGGGAAACAAAUCUCAAGAUGAAACUGAAGUUCUGGAUGAUACUGAUGGGUCGCAAAAGAUGAAGCCUCAGAGAUACUCAAAGAUGAAUUUUAAAAAGUGAAUGGAUGAUGUCAUUUGUUAACAAACAGGGAUGCAUCACUACCUACAACUCAUGUCGCAGUUUUAAAAUGGUGUGGGCAGAGCGAUAUAGUAAGUGAUUUUAGAAAAACAUUUUUGAGCUUCGCUAGUGGCACUAGCAGUUGCUAGAAGCAAAUAUACUCAAUAAUAGGGGGUGUAAAUCCUGAACCCUGUGAUGAAAAAAAAAUUGUACACACACAUACUUAACUGAUCAGUAAGUGUCAAUUUCUGUGACAAGUUUUGAACUUGCUGCUUUUCUGCAAA